RNAcentral lists this ribosomal RNA (430 nucleotides) under uncultured bacterium. Its description in RNAcentral is "partial 16S ribosomal RNA". It matches the Rfam family "Bacterial small subunit ribosomal RNA", at positions 354 to 796 of the family's 1533-position model. The record is from RNAcentral.
GUGGGGAAUAUUGCACAAUGGGCGAAAGCCUGAUGCAGCAACGCCGCGUGAGGGACGACGGCCUUCGGGUUGUAAACCUCUUUUAGUAGGGAAGAAGCGAAAGUGACGGUACCUGCAGAAAAAGCACCGGCUAACUACGUGCCAGCAGCCGCGGUAAUACGUAGGGUGCAAGCGUUAUCCGGAAUUAUUGGGCGUAAAGAGCUCGUAGGCGGUCUGUCGCGUCUGCUGUGAAAACUGGAGGCUCAACCCCCAGCCUGCAGUGGGUACGGGCAGACUAGAGUGCGGUAGGGGAGAUUGGAAUUCCUGGUGUAGCGGUGGAAUGCGCAGAUAUCAGGAGGAACACCGAUGGCGAAGGCAGAUCUCUGGGCCGUAACUGACGCUGAGGAGCGAAAGCGUGGGGAGCGAACAGGAUUAGAAACCCGUGUAGUCC